UAGAGCAAAGACAAAGUAAGCAAGC
RNAcentral lists this non-coding RNA (25 nucleotides) under Mus musculus (house mouse). The record is from RNAcentral. Lineage: Eukaryota; Metazoa; Chordata; Mammalia; Rodentia; Muridae.